AAAUAAUUGAGGAUCGGACACAUAUUACGGCUUUAUGGCCGCGUCAAAGGUUUUUAAAGUUUUAACAAUUUAAAGCUUGGGAAAGUUACUGGCCUCUCUACCACCACAGAAUAGGAAAGGAGAGGACAGGGUGACUUUAACAUCUGUCUAGGGACUACAGAUGAAAAAAAGCCUCUUGGCUAAUUCUGGCGCAUUUACAACAAUGUUAUUAAUGUGCACUGUCUCUGUUUAUUCAAAUAAACGUAUCAUUAUUAUUAUUAACCCCCCCUCCACCCAAGACACUCAGCCACCCUUGUCUCCAUCUGAGGCGUCACCUGUCCUAUCAAGUGAUCAUGAAGGAGAUGAGGAUGUGGAUUACCACACAGUUCCACCAGGCGCCGAUCUGCAUCCUGCAGUCCCGGGUCUGCCAUGUAAACAGUUGCAUUUGUUGCACUUUCUUUUUACUCUGCCCUUGUUCUAAUUGUUGUUACAGAUGUUUUAUUAGGUUACUGCAGCUAAUAUCUGUUACUGUUUUUAUAAAACUACUCCAUGUGGAGACAAAAUUAUACAUUUUGUUGUUGUUUUCAUUGAUUUUAAUUACACAUAGAUUAUGCACAAUUGUACAAAUUGAUGAAGCGCAAGGUAAAUGUUAUAUCCAAAAGUUCCAGUAGAUGGCAUUACACUAGCCUAAUGGACAUUGUAUUUCCCAGACAGUUUCCAUGGGAAGUGGAAAGUAAUCUAUUUGGCACAGUUUGUGCCAAAAUGAGUGUCCGCCUUGUUGUAUCCUUACUUAAACCUUUAUGGAGGCUUAGCCCUUUGCUCAAAGUCUAUCAAAUUUGAUAAAUAUGUAGUCAAGGAUUUGCUGAAGGUAAUCAAUGGCAUCUGUCUGUAUGGAAUCAUUGUUGGCUUAGUUUUAUCCUGUGUCAAAUAGGGGGGAAAAUCAGGCGUGGAGAGAAAUUUCACAUUUUUUCACUGGUUUAUUCCAAUUUACUCAGGCAUAGUGGCAGACACAACAUUUUUUACACUGGGAAUACAUUCUCUGAAGUUCCUCGAUAUCCAAGGACACCAAGAACAUGCAUAUGAAUGAUUUAUAGUGGAGUAAUUCUUCAUUUAUUUUGGGUAUGUCUUUUUAAGCAUUUUAUCUGAAAAUAUGGCCAGGGCUUAAGAGGUUAAGACAUACAACAGAAACACAAACAGAAGUCAUUAUACAUAUACUAUCCCUUAACCUAAAUCUAUUAUUAUUUUAAUAAGAUUAUCUUUAUUCAUAAGCAUGGUGUAUUUGAAAAUACAGCUAGAUUAGGUGGAUCUUUAUCCCGGUUAAACUGAACCAUUGUAUUUAUCUUUCUUCUGUUGUUCUAAGUCAAUUGUAUUAGCUGUAUAUUCAUCAUUUCAGAGGCUUUGAUAUUAAUGUUGAUAUUAAAGUUGCAUUAAGUUUUUCCCUUUCUGUCCUUCGAGUUUUUAAAAUCAGCUGCUCUGUCUGAAAAACUGUGAGCAGACCAGAUAUAGACGCCUGUAGGUAGUCGAAGGCAGAGACUUGCUUGUGACAUAACAGUUAACAGUGGUUAAACACUGUAUGAGUCUACUUUUCUUCAUUAAGCAGAGAUAAGACAAAUAGUGUUAAAAAAGACAGUGACUUGAAGUUAGUAAAAGAGUCAGCCGUUCUUCUCAAACUCUUUACUUGUUCAUACAGUCGCUGCCAGCUUUCUUUCUGUAGCUGUUCGACAGUAGAUAUUAUCAAUCAUUUACUGUCCAUUCACACAGACAGCUGACAUGUAGGAUGUUCAAAGACUCUGACAUGGGAAAAGCUCAAAAGAUAUUGUGAAGCCAACACAACUUUUGGUUAGAAACGCUAAAUCAAAUGACAUCAACCAGUGAUAAUAAUAACAACGCACGUUAUUUGCAUAUUAUUUGUUGUCUGGUGAAGAUUUUGUGUACGUUUUUGUUUAGUCAUUAAAAGGCAAGGCAUUUCAUUUGUACAGCCCAUUUUUACAAGCAGUUUGUCUCAAAGGGCUUUACAUCCCAUCAUAAAAACAUCCUCUGUCCUGAGACCCUCACAUCCACUGAGGGAAAACUCCAUAGAAAACCCUUUAACAGGGAAAAAUUGGAGAAACCUCAGGGUGAGCAACAAAGGAGAGUUCCCUCCCCCAGAUGUCUUAACCCAGCAUGUCUGGAUAGAGCUGUUUGAGCCUGACUAUUGAGAGCUCGGACUGACCCAAGGAAACAGAUGGAGCCUGUAUGGCUACAGUCUGUGGCCGGAGCAACACAUUUAUUUAUGAGUUUAAUCGCUAGUAAACUUAAAUGUAUGUGUGCUCCAGAUCUGGCUCUUUCUCUCUAUAACUCUCUUAAACAGUAAUAAUGAGUUGAUUAUGUUAUAUUUUUCCAUCUUUGCUGAGCUUAAGAUUUGUUCAGAAUUAAAGAAAUGCCUCUCCCAUAUAGAGAAAUACCCUACUAUAUUGACAUGUCUGCAUCUGGA
This is a long non-coding RNA of Acanthopagrus latus (yellowfin seabream), 2452 nucleotides long. RefSeq lists it as uncharacterized. The transcript has 4 exons. The record is from RefSeq and is a predicted model, not a curated record. NCBI's taxonomy places the organism in Eukaryota, Metazoa, Chordata, Actinopteri, Spariformes, Sparidae.